CCAAGCGUAGUGUAGUGAGCUCGCGCUGUGUCCCUAUUCUUACCGCUCCUCUUGGGGAGGGGGGUGUGGGCGCGGAGUGCCGAGGUGAGAUCCCGUUGUUAGGCGCUCUUUCGCUGUUAUUGUGUGUGCUCCGACGAGGCCGGAGGGAAAAUUCGCGGGCCAUCAGAUGGUGGGGGCAUCGAUUAGGCUUUCGCUUCGGAACUGACGGUUGACUUCGAUUUGCACGUCAGAAUUACUACAGUCCUCGACCAGAGUUUCCGCUGGCUUCAACCUACUGUAGCGAACCGAAAGAUGUUUAACUAUGCAUGCUGAGUUCGCAGCCAGAGGCAACUCUGGGGGAGGACCGGAGCAAAUCUGAAGAGCAACUCGAUCGUCAAACGUGAGUAUAGAAGCCUUAGACUAAUCGAACCAUCUAGUAGCUGGUUCCCUCCGAAGUUUCCCCUCAGGAUAGCUGGCAUUCAUUGAGAUAAUCAGAAUUAUCCGGUAAAACCAAUGAUUAGAGGUGCUGGGUUCGAAACGAGCUCAAGCUACUCUCAAACUUUAAAUAGAAUGAGAGACUCAGACUCGCCCCUGAUAUUCACUACCCCGCGUGGUUCUCGGCAGGACACCUAUCGGUUGUUUGAAAAAAGAA
RNAcentral lists this ribosomal RNA (631 nucleotides) under Dipylidium caninum. Its description in RNAcentral is "partial large subunit ribosomal RNA". The stretch from base 229 to 631 matches the Rfam family "Eukaryotic large subunit ribosomal RNA", at positions 669 to 1119 of the family's 3401-position model. The record is from RNAcentral. Lineage: Eukaryota; Metazoa; Platyhelminthes; Cestoda; Cyclophyllidea; Dipylidiidae.